AUUGAACGCUGGCGGCAUGCCUUACACAUGCAAGUCGAACGGUAACAGGUCUUCGGAUGCUGACGAGUGGCGAACGGGUGAGUAAUACAUCGGAUCGUGCCUAGUAGUGGGGGAUAACUACUCGAAAGAGUGGCUAAUACCGCAUGAGAUCUACGGAUGAAAGCAGGGGAUCGCAAGACCUUGUGCUACUAGAGCGGCCGAUGGCUGAUUAGGUAGUUGGUGGGAUAAAAGCUUACCAAGCCGACGAUCUGUAGCUGGUCUGAGGGGACGAUCAGCCACACUGGGACUGAGACACGGCCCAGACUCCUACGGGAGGCAGCAGUGGGGAAUUUUGGACAAUGGGCGAAAGCCUGAUCCAGCAAUGCCGCGUGCAGGAUGAAGGCCUUCGGGUUGUAAACUGCUUUUGUACGGAACGAAAAGCCCCGGGUUAAUACCCUGGGGUCAUGACGGUACCGUAAGAAUAAGCACCGGCUAACUACGUGCCAGCCGCCGCAGUAA
RNAcentral lists this ribosomal RNA (498 nucleotides) under uncultured bacterium. Its description in RNAcentral is "partial 16S ribosomal RNA". It matches the Rfam family "Bacterial small subunit ribosomal RNA", at positions 30 to 523 of the family's 1533-position model. The record is from RNAcentral.